Molecule: ribosomal RNA, 483 nt
Filed under: uncultured bacterium
Lineage: Bacteria
Description: partial 16S ribosomal RNA
Rfam family: Bacterial small subunit ribosomal RNA
Source: RNAcentral
ACUCAAAUGAAUUGACGGGGACCCGCACAAGCGGUGGAGCGUGUUGUUUAAUUCGAUGGUAAGCGAAGAACCUUACCAGGGUUUGACAUCUCGGGAAGGUCUCCGAAAGGAGACUGUGCCUUUGGAACCCGAUGACAGGUGUUGCAUGGCCGUCGUCAGCUCGUGUCGUGAGAUGUUUGGUUAAGUCCAUCAACGAGCGCAACCCUUAUAGUUAGUUGAAUUUCUCUAGCUAGACUGCCCCGGCAACGGGGAGGAAGGAGGGGAUGAUGUCAGGUCAGUAUUACCCUUACACCCUGGGCUACAAACACGCUACAAUGGCCGGUACAAAGGGCAGCUAAGCCGCGAGGCGGAGCAAAUCCCAUCAAAGCCGGUCUCAGUUCGGAUUGCAGGCUGAAACUCGCCUGCAUGAAGCUGGAAUCGCUAGUAACGGUAGGUCAGCACACUACCGUGAAUACGUUCCCGGGUCUUGUACACACCGCCCGU